GGCACUUUGGCCGAGUGGUUAAGGCGUCAGUCUUGAAAACUGAUGGGCUUUGGCCCACGCAGGUUCGAAUCCUGCAAGUGUCG
Molecule: transfer RNA, 83 nt
Filed under: Candidatus Kaiserbacteria bacterium
Lineage: Bacteria; Candidatus Kaiseribacteriota
Description: tRNA-Ser
Rfam family: tRNA
About the family: Transfer RNA (tRNA) molecules are approximately 80 nucleotides in length. Their secondary structure includes four short double-helical elements and three loops (D, anti-codon, and T loops). Further hydrogen bonds mediate the characteristic L-shaped molecular structure. tRNAs have two regions of fundamental functional importance: the anti-codon, which is responsible for specific mRNA codon recognition, and the 3' end, to which the tRNAs corresponding amino acid is attached (by aminoacyl-tRNA synthetases). tRNAs cope with the degeneracy of the genetic code in two manners: having more than one tRNA (with a specific anti-codon) for a particular amino acid; and 'wobble' base-pairing, i.e. permitting non-standard base-pairing at the 3rd anti-codon position.
Source: RNAcentral